This 100-nucleotide microRNA precursor is filed under the name Saimiri boliviensis boliviensis (Bolivian squirrel monkey). RNAcentral's name for it is "miRNA (ENSSBOG00000005867.1)". The record is from RNAcentral. Lineage: Eukaryota; Metazoa; Chordata; Mammalia; Primates; Cebidae.
UGAGGCAGGAGAAUUGCUUGAACCCAGGAGGUGGAGGCUGCAGUGAGCCAAGAUCGUGCCACUGCAUUCCAGCCUGGAUGACAGAGCAAGACUCCAUCUC